UUAUCGUACAACGGGGGUGCGAGGGCUGUCGCUGACCUUUCNNAAGGUCGUGCACGCUCGAGCACUCUCAUACAUCCAUCUCACCCCUUUGUGCAUCACCGCGNGGGUCCCCCUUUGCAAGAGGGCUCACGUUUUCACACAAAACUUGAUACAGUGUANAAUGCUAUUUUUGCGGUCACACGCAAUCAAUACNACUUUCAACAACGGAUCUCUUGGCUCUCGCAUCGAUGAAGAACGCAGCGAAAUGCGAUACGUAAUGUGAAUUGCANAAUUCAGUGAAUCAUCGAAUCUUUGAACGCACCUUGCGCCCCUUGGCAUUCCGAGGGGCACACCCGUUUGAGUGUCGNGAAAUCAUCAAAAACCCNUUUNUGUUUACUGAAAAGGAUUUUUGGACUUG
RNAcentral lists this unclassified non-coding RNA (397 nucleotides) under uncultured fungus. Its description in RNAcentral is "sequence contains ITS1, 5.8S rRNA gene, ITS2". The stretch from base 193 to 346 matches the Rfam family "5.8S ribosomal RNA". The record is from RNAcentral. Lineage: Eukaryota; Fungi.